AGUAAAAUACGGGAAUACUUCAUGUUCUAGGUCGCCCACCAGUAAAAUGCGGGAAUACUAUCUGUUCUAGGUCGCCCACCAGUAAAAUGCGGGAAUACUUUAUGUUCUAGGUCGCCCACCAGUAAAAUGCGGGAAUACUUUCUGUUCUAGGUCGCCCACCAGUAAAAUGCGGGAAUACUUUCUGUUCUAGGUCGCCCACCAGUAAAAUGCGGGAAUACAUUCAUGUUCUAGGUCGCCCACCAGUAAAAUGCGGGAAUACUUUCUGUUCUAGGUCGCCCACCAGUAAAAUGCGGGAAUACUUUCUGUUCUAGGUCGCCCACCAGUAAAUGCUGGAAUACUUUCUAUUCUAGGUCGCCCACCUGUAAAAUGCGGGAAUACUUUCUGUUCUAGGUCGCCCACCAGUAAAAGGCGGGAAUACAUUCUGUUCUAGGUCGUCCACCAGUAUAAUGCGGG
RNAcentral lists this long non-coding RNA (453 nucleotides) under Nicotiana tabacum (common tobacco). RNAcentral's name for it is "long non-coding RNA (NTAB_LNC002229)". Lineage: Eukaryota; Viridiplantae; Streptophyta; Magnoliopsida; Solanales; Solanaceae. The record is from RNAcentral.